This 497-nucleotide ribosomal RNA is filed under the name uncultured bacterium. RNAcentral's name for it is "partial 16S ribosomal RNA". It matches the Rfam family "Bacterial small subunit ribosomal RNA", at positions 28 to 507 of the family's 1533-position model. The record is from RNAcentral.
GAUGAACGCUGGCGGCGUGCCUAAUACAUGCAAGUCGAGCGAACAGACGAGGAGCUUGCUCCUCUGACGUUAGCGGCGGACGGGUGAGUAACACGUGGAUAACCUACCUAUAAGACUGGGAUAACUUCGGGAAACCGGAGCUAAUACCGGAUAAUAUAUUGAACCGCAUGGUUCAAUAGUGAAAGACGGUUUUGCUGUCACUUAUAGAUGGAUCCGCGCCGCAUUAGCUGGUUGGUAAGGUAACGGCUUACCAAGGCAACGAUGCGUAGCCGACCUGAGAGGGUGAUCGGCCUCACUGGAACUGAGACACGGUCCAGACUCCUACGGGAGGCAGCAGUAGGGAAUCUUCCGCAAUGGGCGAAAGCUUGACGGAGCAACGCCGCGUGAGUGAUGAAGGUCUUCGGAUCGUAAAACUCUGUUAUUAGGGAAGAACAAAUGUGUAAGUAACUAUGCACGUCUUGACGGUACCUAAUCAGAAAGCCACGGCUAACUACGUG